CACAGUUUGCUCCACAUUUCAGUGGCAGCUCUGAUGCAAUGCAAAGGUCAGAGGGCAAGACACACAUUGUAUGCAAACAGGAAAAUAAUUUCUUCUGGGAUCUGCUAAUAUACGGACAAAGGAGAGAAGCAUGUCAUCUGCUGUACAAGCCAAGGCAAACCCAGCUUCGUUCCAUGCAUCAGAGGGUUGAAUCAGAAAGAAAAGGAUUAAAGUUGCUCAAGGAGAGAGAAAAAGAAAGAACAAACUGCCUGAAAUCCAGCACUAUUCAUGUAUGCAGCAUGGAUUGUUUUAAAAUGCUGUUUUUCUUCAAACAUCACUUUCAUAAGGCCAAUUCUAAAUGGAUUGAGAUGACACUAAGAGGUUUGGCAUCAGGCCUUUACUUCUUCCAGAUGCAUCCUGAGUGAGAAAUCCUUGUCUUGCUUGAUCGUGGUUAAGAAGAGUUUCUUAUCAGAUAACAACCCGAUGCGUAAUGCAAAUAUGAUCACCAGCUCCUGUUCAGGACAAAAUCUGGAGAUGGAGUUAAGCCCUAUAAGCCCCAUAUGCAGUUAAACUUUCCCACUGGCUGAUGAGCAGUGGAGGACAAAAGCAGGCUGGGUGAGUAGUUCUUUAUUUCCUGGACUGAAGUCUGGCAAUGCUUCCCAGACGUGCCCAGUUCCCAGCAACGCGCAGCUGGAUCCCACUUGACAAAUGCCCAGCAUGAAGCAGCACUGCCUGCAGCUCAGCCAUGAGACCCUCAUCACCGCACGCCAUGCGCUGGAGUUAACGCCUGCUCUUUAGGCUUGCCUUUGGGCCACAAAAGGAGGAACCCUAAGGAAAUACUCCUUUUCUUCUUCAUCUCCCACAUCAAGCGUUACGAAGAGAAGUGCUGUAUAUUCCAUGGGAAAGACUCGGUUUUGAGAGACCAUUAGUAUUAAGAAUAUCAUCGGCUAAGUAACAUCUUUGUUCUCAUUCUUUCUUUUAUUUAGGCACAAAAUUACAAACAAUAGGUAAGUGGAGCCAGGUGAACUCCUCAGGAUGGUGUUUUGUGUUGUGAAAAGCGUUUUGUGAAUCACAUAUGAAACCUAGGAAACAGCUUGAGCCAAAGACAAAGACAGCAAUUCUGAGAAGUUGCUGUCAAUGCACUCUGGUGAUUUCAAAGUGAAACAGUUCAACUUUUCAGUUUGAAACAACAUUUGUUUUUAUUUUGAGGUUUUCCUGCCUGCAAUAAAUGAAAAGGGGUGAAAAGUUUAAACACAAAAAUGACGUGUUUUGUUUCAGGUCGAACCAAAUACAUUGCUCAGUCCAAAAUGGAAUUUUGGAGUUUUAUUGUUUUACCAAGAAAAUACAGUUUCAUUUCCUGUCAACCCAAAUUAAACAUUUUUCGUAAUUGUA
Long non-coding RNA from Gallus gallus (chicken), 1371 nucleotides. The record is from Ensembl. Lineage: Eukaryota; Metazoa; Chordata; Aves; Galliformes; Phasianidae.